AAGAGAUAAGACUAGAGGCAGAGAUACUAGCUAAGAAGCUGUUGCAACAAUGAAAGAAGAAAUGAUGAGAACCUAAACUAAGGCAAUACUAAUAGAAGCAAAGAGAAGGGAAGAGAUUUCACAAGUUUAUAAGAAGAAAGUGGUAGGACUUGAAAGUUAAUUGGAUGUAAAGACCAAAGCAAGGGGCAGUCAAGGAUGGCUCCUGGAUUUCUGGCUUGAGAGACUAGGUGGAUGAAAGAGCAGGUAGAAUGAGAAAGAUGAUGCUUUCAGUUUGGGAUAGGUCAAGUUUUGGGUCCCUUAUAGGUCUUUCAGGGAGAAAUGUCUAGCAGGGAUUUGGAUAGAAAUGUCUGGCACUCAGGAGAAAUAGAGAUGAGAACACCAAAGACAGAAUAUAUGGUUCUUCUAGAAGAUCCACUUUCAAUUUUACUAAAGUGAAUGACCCACUUUGAUGAAAAGAAUAAUGACUUCUAAGGUCUCUUACAACUCUAAUGUUACAAUUCUAUUGUUCCAUCUGGAAUUGCCUUUUGAAGACAGCACACCUGUGGCCUAAAACUUCCUUGGUGAACAUGUGAAAUAUUUUUUAAUGAAAGCCCAUUACAUAUAAAGCCAUACAACCCCAAACAUGCAGUGAUAAUGCUUAUAGCAAAGAAAAACCAAGUAAAGACACUAUCUACAUUUACCUACUCUGAUCCCAAUUGGCUGCAAACAGCAAAAGAAUCUUCCUGCCGUAAUGGUCUCGGUUUUCCAGCACCCCGGGGAACCCAUCGAUCAGAGCCCUCUUAAUGCCGGGAUCAUCUGCCUUGAAGUUUUUGAACAUGUCCAGGUUUAGCUGGCGGUACUGGAAAUACUGAGCCAGGAGUCUAAAGGCAUCCGCUUGGUGAAACUUCCUGGCUCGGAGAAAUCUCAGGAUGAAGGCAUCAUCUGGAUCCUGCAAUAGACAGAAGAAAGAUAAUUCCCUGGGAAGUGCUGAGCAGAUCCAUGUAACCGUGACCCUUCUUCUGGAUGUGAUUGCACAGACAAUGGCAGCAGUGGGAAUCACAGCUAAGAAAACUGCCUGGGAAAAGUAAAACACAUCAGCAAGCUUAAGGGGUGGUCCAUGCAUCAGCAGUGGCAGCAGAACCCAGGACCUUGUUAGUGACACAGCAUGUCAGGACUCACUUAGACCUACUGAACAGCUGGCAUCAAGACUUUUAUAUUGGAGGAGCCAAGAUGGCCGAAUAGGAACAGCUCCGGUCUACAGCUCCCAGCGUGAGCGACGCAGAAGAGGGUGAUUUCUGCAUUUCCAUCUGAGUUGUUUUUCAGAAACCCCAAUUCCCACCAACUUCAGAUCUCCAUUCCUACCAACUUCAGCUCUGCUGGUAUGUGGACAUCAGAGAAGGGGGAACUGGAAACUGAACUCUGACCAUAUCAUUCUGUGUUCUAAAUGUCUUCCUGAGGGGCCUGGAGGAAGUUACACUCACAAGCCAGAGCUAACAUUCUUUUCUGCUGACCCCAAAUUUUAAAAUAAAGCUUCUCUUCCUUAAC
This 1524-nucleotide long non-coding RNA is filed under the name Homo sapiens (human). RNAcentral's name for it is "HSALNT0347204". The record is from RNAcentral. Lineage: Eukaryota; Metazoa; Chordata; Mammalia; Primates; Hominidae.